RNAcentral lists this long non-coding RNA (821 nucleotides) under Citrus maxima (pomelo). Its description in RNAcentral is "long non-coding RNA (CMAX_LNC001809)". Lineage: Eukaryota; Viridiplantae; Streptophyta; Magnoliopsida; Sapindales; Rutaceae. The record is from RNAcentral.
AACACUGAAAAAAAAAAAGAACAAUAAUCAAGAUCCACGCCCCGUGCAAAUUUGUUGGCUGGCCGCGGCAACUCCAACGACUUCUGGGCAGUGGUGGGGAUCGGAUUUUGAAGGUGUUGUUGUGAGGAGUUAAAUUCAGGUGGUGGUGGUCGAAAAUCCGGUGGAUCUUGCCGAUCAUGGUCACGCUUUGCGGGAGAAACCGCAGCUUCGUGUGGCCGUUUCUGGCUACUUUCCGGUGGCGACGAAGAUACGCGGGUGCUCGCUGGUGCUUGGGAGUUAAUAAUUUUACAUAACAUUCUGUCUCUUCAAGUGCUAAUCUCGCAAUAUUUCUUUCUCUUCCGGCGAGUUUUUAGAAACUUCUCCGAUUAGGUAAUUUUCGCCUACCCUGUUUGUUUGCUAGGAAACUAACCAAAGUAACAACAAUGUAUAACACUAUGUGAUUAUAUGGAUUGCUAACUAAAUGUGAUAGUUGCUUCAAAUGAAAAAACAAUUGAGAUAUUAUGUUUGAUACUUAACUUGAAUUAGGGAAUGUGUGUAAAAGAUUUGAGUGUAAAUCAGCUCACAAAUGGAAAAGAAUACAUAAGCACAUUGGCUGAAAUGAUAGCCGUAUAUUAGUUUCUUGUAUAUUGAAUUGAAAUGAUUUAUUAAUUUCUGAAUUAUUUUGUUUCAUGUGUGAGGAAGUCUUUUGAUGCAAUAGCUUUUGAAACCGAACUUGUUUAGGUGCUUGUUAGAUUUGUUUCGAAGUGCUUUGAUGUUCUUGAUUUAUGAAUGCAAUUGUUUUCAAGAUAGUUUUAACAGGUCUCGGAUGAAGUUGAUGUCCU